AUUUUUUGGGGCUUAAUGGGUCCUAAGCGGGCCCCCCAAUUCAGAGGAGAAAUCCACUCCCCUAACGGGUGGCCUUCGGGAGGAAAUUCCAGGGCUUGGGCCCGGAGGACUGGAGGGGUACUUGGGGGGUAGGAGUGAAUUCUUGUAUUCCGGAACGGCCCCCCGAUAGGAAAACCACUUCAAGGGAUGGAUCCGACAGGGAGGGAGGAAAGUUAGGGUCUCGAACCGAUUUGGUUCCCCGGUAUUCUACUGGCACGAGUUCCCUUUUUUUACAGCGUGCUCAGGCGCCAGGAAUUGAACGGGGGAGCACAUGGCGGCAUCUAGUAUCGUGUGCAGU
Molecule: ribosomal RNA, 337 nt
Filed under: uncultured archaeon
Lineage: Archaea
Also listed under: 1 other name
Description: partial 16S ribosomal RNA
Source: RNAcentral